UGGGCCUACGGGGGGCAGCAGUGGGGAAUAUUGCACAAUGGGGGAAACCCUGAUGCAGCGACGCCGCGUGAGCGAGGAAGUACCUCGGUAUGUAAAGCUCUGUCAGCAGGGAAGAAAAUGACAGUACCUGACCAAGAAGCCCCGGCUAACUACGUGCCAGCAGCCGCGGUAAUACGUAGGGGGCAAGCGUUAUCCGGAUUUACUGGGUGUAAAGGGAGCGUAGACGGCGCGGCAAGUCUGAAGUGAAAGGCAGGGGCUUAACCCCUGAACUGCUUUGGAAACUGCCAUGCUAGAGUGCUGGAGAG
RNAcentral lists this ribosomal RNA (305 nucleotides) under uncultured bacterium. RNAcentral's name for it is "bacterial SSU rRNA". It matches the Rfam family "Bacterial small subunit ribosomal RNA", at positions 334 to 656 of the family's 1533-position model. The record is from RNAcentral.